CGCUGCUGAGUCUCGCGGCGGGCCGCCGGGUGCACAUGUGUGUAUUCUCCGUGACAGUCUUGAAGUUGUGAGUAAUUAGAUUGUUUUUCGCUACGUUUAGGUUCCACCACCUCUUUGUUUUCGUGUACUUUCGUGCUCAUCGACGCGAAGGGAGCAUCCGGACUGAAGGCGACGCGAUUAUUCGUGAGAAAGAAAGGCAGUAGCGGCCUGCGACAUCGGCGUUUCUUUGUGACAGUGUGUUUACUAUGCCUACGACGGCCGUCAUUCGUGGCCAACGAGAAAACAUCUUCCAUUCGGCCUGACCAGUGAUGAAGUGGACUUUUUUUUUCGGUGGAAUCCAUCGUCAACAUCGUCCGGAAUCCAUCGUCAACAUCGUCCAUCCACUACGUAAACGAAAUGGCGUGCCCAGAGUACACGUCGUGACAGCGCUCCGCCUUCAAACCGAGGGCCUUUUGCAAGGCGGAUGGACGGCUCAUAUAAAAGUUAGUCAGCAUGAAGCAAUUGCAUGGGAACCGGCUGAUUGUCUUGGGCCUACACAUUGCUCAAAAGACAGGGAAGAUGUCUGAGCCGACAGGUAGAAAACAAGCAGAUGGCUACAGCGAUCAAUGAAGAAAUGGCUUCAUCUAUGAUGGCUCUCCUUAGGACAUUAGAAUGGAGCUACACAAAGGCAUCACCAGCCUCGCCUGUUCCCUGGAACAUUGGUUUGAAUAAGACUGUUCUUCAGUGUAGAACGACCACAAGACUUGUCACCACAUACAGGGCGUAGUGCAAGCUCUAAAUAUUGUACAGGUGGCUAGAAUAAAUGACCCUCCAUGCAGUCACUCUUCCUGUAUCUGUGGUAAAUGGACCAUUUCACGCAGGACACUCACACGUGAUUAUGUGUUUUCUUCAAAGUUGCUAUGCCAUGCAUUUGGAAACACAUUACCUAUUGUAUGCACACUGUACAUAACAUUUUUGUGUGCUAGCCUGACUGUAGACUUGCGAAACAAACAAUGAAGUGCAUGUGUACCCGCUUCAACAUGCUGUACUUCAACACCCUUAUAGCAAGGGCUAUUAUAUUGCUCAUUACACCCGAUAGCUGAAGGGGUAAUAUAUUCUCGAACACACCCUUACACCCCAUGGGUCGAAGGGUAAUAUGUUGUUCAAAGCACCCUCAAGGGAUAGGGUGUUAUUGGAAUAUAGAAUAACCAUCAUAAGGGUGUAAUUGCCUAUAAAACCCAGCUUUUUCUAGGGUGCUAGGGGGUUAGUUAUAGACACUCAAAAAAACCCUUAGGGGUGUAAAUUAUUUUACAGUG
Non-coding RNA from Dermacentor andersoni, 1295 nucleotides. The record is from RefSeq and is a predicted model, not a curated record. NCBI's taxonomy places the organism in Eukaryota, Metazoa, Arthropoda, Arachnida, Ixodida, Ixodidae.